Molecule: non-coding RNA, 67 nt
Organism: Potamilus streckersoni
Lineage: Eukaryota; Metazoa; Mollusca; Bivalvia; Unionida; Unionidae
Source: the annotation of a GenBank genome assembly
GUGGCCUAGUGGUUAGAGCGUCCGCCUCGGAUGCGGGAGAUCGUAGUUUCGAUCCCUGGGCAAGUCA